This 253-nucleotide ribosomal RNA is filed under the name uncultured bacterium. Its description in RNAcentral is "partial 16S ribosomal RNA". It matches the Rfam family "Bacterial small subunit ribosomal RNA", at positions 524 to 776 of the family's 1533-position model. The record is from RNAcentral.
UACGUAGGUGACAAGCGUUGUCCGGAUUUACUGGGCGUAAAGAGCGCGCAGGCGGUCGAUCAAGUCGAGUGUGAAAGCCCCCGGCUCAACUGGGGAGGGUCACUCGAUACUGAUCGACUCGAAGGCAGGAGAGGGUAGUGGAAUUCCCGGUGUAGUGGUGAAAUGCGUAGAUAUCGGGAGGAACACCAGUGGCGAAGGCGACUACCUGGCCUGUUCUUGACGCUGAGGCGCGAAAGCUAGGGGAGCAAACGGG